AGCGAGCGGAUCCCUUCGGGGUGAAGCUCGUGGAACGAGCGGCGGACGGGUGAGUAACACGUGGGCAACCUGCCUGUAAGACCGGAAUAACCCCGGGAAACCGGGGCUAAUGCCGGGUAAUACUUUCUUUCGCAUGAAGGAAAGUUGAAAGAUGGCUUCUCGCUAUCACUUACAGAUGGGCCCGCGGCGCAUUAGCUAGUUGGUGAGGUAACGGCUCACCAAGGCGACGAUGCGUAGCCGACCUGAGAGGGUGAUCGGCCACACUGGGACUGAGACACGGCCCAGACUCCUACGGGAGGCAGCAGUAGGGAAUCUUCCGCAAUGGACGAAAGUCUGACGGAGCAACGCCGCGUGAACGAUGAAGGUCUUCGGAUCGUAAAGUUCUGUUGUUAGGGAAGAACAAGUGCCGUGCGAAUAGAGCGGUACCUUGACGGUACCUAACGAGGAAGCCCCGGCUAACUACGUGCCAGCAGCCGCGGUAAUACGUAGGGGGCAAGCGUUGUCCGGAAUUAUUGGGCGUAAAGCGCGCGCAGGCGGUUCCUUAAGUCUGAUGUGAAAGCCCACGGCUCAACCGUGGAGGGUCAUUGGAAACUGGGGAACUUGAGGACAGAAGAGGAGAG
RNAcentral lists this ribosomal RNA (620 nucleotides) under Halobacillus sp. YIM 94230. RNAcentral's name for it is "bacterial SSU rRNA". It matches the Rfam family "Bacterial small subunit ribosomal RNA", at positions 60 to 661 of the family's 1533-position model. Lineage: Bacteria; Bacillati; Bacillota; Bacilli; Caryophanales; Bacillaceae. The record is from RNAcentral.